GUAACACAGGUGCUGCAUGGCUGUCGUCAGCUCGUGUCGUGAGAUGUUGGGUUAAGUCCCGCAACGAGCGCAACCCUUGUCAUUAGUUGCUACAUUUAGUUGGGCACUCUAAUGAGACUGCCGGUGACAAGCCGGAGGAAGGUGGGGAUGACGUCAAGUCCUCAUGGCCCUUAUAGGUGGGGCUACACACGUCAUACAAUGGCUGGUACAGAGGGUUGCCAACCCGCGAGGGGGAGCUAAUCCCAUAAAACCAGUCGUAGUCCGGAUCGCAGUCUGCAACUCGACUGCGUGAAGUCGGAAUCGCUAGUAAUCGCGGAUCAGAAUGUCGCGGUGAAUACGUUCCCGGGUCUU
RNAcentral lists this ribosomal RNA (351 nucleotides) under uncultured Comamonadaceae bacterium. RNAcentral describes it as "bacterial SSU rRNA". It matches the Rfam family "Bacterial small subunit ribosomal RNA", at positions 1029 to 1382 of the family's 1533-position model. The record is from RNAcentral. Lineage: Bacteria; Pseudomonadati; Pseudomonadota; Betaproteobacteria; Burkholderiales; Comamonadaceae.